UACGUAGGUGGCAAGCGUUGUCCGGAAUUAUUGGGCGUAAAGCGCGCGCAGGCGGUCCUUUAAGUCUGAUGUGAAAGCCCGGGGCUCACCCCCGGAAGGGCAUUGGAAACUGGCGGACUCGAGUCCCGGAGAGGAGGGUGGAAUUCCUGGUGUAGCGGUGAAAUGCGUAGAUAUCAGGAGGAACACCGGUUGCGAAGGCCGCCCUCUGGACGGUGACUGACGCUGAGACGCGAAAGCGUGGGGAGCAAACGGG
Molecule: ribosomal RNA, 253 nt
Filed under: uncultured bacterium
Lineage: Bacteria
Description: partial 16S ribosomal RNA
Rfam family: Bacterial small subunit ribosomal RNA
Source: RNAcentral